This 852-nucleotide ribosomal RNA is filed under the name Triticum aestivum (bread wheat). Its description in RNAcentral is "partial small subunit ribosomal RNA". Lineage: Eukaryota; Viridiplantae; Streptophyta; Magnoliopsida; Poales; Poaceae. The record is from RNAcentral.
AUGACUUGCAUCGCUCGUUCCGAUCGUGCAAGCCAUUAUUAUAAAUUCUGCUUUUUUUAUUGUCAAAUUUAUCUUAAUGAUGUUCUUUGUUCAUGGACGACUGGCCUGCAAAAACUCACUCCGACACCUCCUGCGUGGCUUCCCCUGCGCCUCUCGUGGCCACUUUUCUCUGACUCCGGCAUAGACCUCAAUGACACUCUACCUGAGCCGGUGGCCCUCGGCAUCGACCUCGGUGUCAUGAAGAACAUCCAAGAUUAUAUGGUCGAGAAGCUCAGCGUCGACAAGAGCAUCAUCCUAGAGCUCUGCAUCAUCCUCUACAAGCAAGUACCGAACCACCAUGGCCAUGCCACUGUCUUGACCAUGUGUCUGUUGUGGUCCUUGAUGCAGGCCAUUGUGCACCAAUUUGACGACGAUGAUUUCCACAGUUCAGAGCGCCCCAACUGCCUCUCCUUCGACCGUGGUUCAGGUAGUGGCUCGGUCUCCACUGUACUCUAUCCCUUGCUCUGUGGCGCCUGGCCAUUGUGCUUAGUCCAUGCUGUGAUCCUUGUUGUCGAGCCUUGGUUCUCUAGUGUAGUGUUUGGCCUGUGGGGUGGACUGGGCAACAAUUCUGAGAUUUGUGGUGUCUUUUGGACCGAUAUAAAACACUUAGCUUGUGAACUUGCGUUGAUUUCUGAACCUAUGGAGAGCAUGUCUAAAGAAAAGAAAAACCUGGAUAAUCAUGGUUGUUACAGGCCUAGGGAAAUUGAUACACUCAUGGGCCACCUGAUGUUGGUUGUCAAGCUUGUUUGCUGCGACCAUCAGCCGAUGUAUCCUUCAUCAGUGCACGGCCAUGGCGAUGAAAUGCUGCGUUGA